This is a non-coding RNA of Paramuricea clavata, 375 nucleotides long. NCBI's taxonomy places the organism in Eukaryota, Metazoa, Cnidaria, Anthozoa, Malacalcyonacea, Plexauridae. The record is from the annotation of a GenBank genome assembly.
GCUUGGAAUCGAGGCGGACAAUGUAAUCAUUGUAAAUGACUACAUGAUUACAUUGUCGGCCUCGAUUCCAAGCUAUUGUUUCGUGUGCACUCAAGCAAAUUCGGGAGGUGUCUAUAGUACACAAGUUCCGGAUCCCCACGAGAAGCAGCGCUUGAAAAUAGAUCUAGCUACCCAGGGGAAAGAACGGAUUAACAUAAUGACUAAUGUAGUUAAUGACCAAUGUGAAUCCCAAGAUAAUGACCAACCAACUAAUCUGAGUAUUAACAAUCCAAGUUUUAAUGAAAUUUCAACUAAUGAAAACCGCUCAUUGCUCAAUAGUACACAAGUUCCAGUUUCUCAUGACAAUCAGCGCGUGGCAAUAGACCUAACCACCAA